RNAcentral lists this ribosomal RNA (251 nucleotides) under uncultured prokaryote. Its description in RNAcentral is "partial 16S rRNA". It matches the Rfam family "Bacterial small subunit ribosomal RNA", at positions 525 to 775 of the family's 1533-position model. The record is from RNAcentral.
ACGUAGGGUGCAAGCGUUAAUCGGAAUUACUGGGCGUAAAGCGUGCGCAGGCGGUUUUGUAAGACAGGCGUGAAAUCCCCGGGCUCAACCUGGGAAUGGCGCUUGUGACUGCAAAGCUGGAGUGCGGCAGAGGGGGAUGGAAUUCCGCGUGUAGCAGUGAAAUGCGUAGAUAUGCGGAGGAACACCAAUGGCGAAGGCAAUCCCCUGGGCCUGCACUGACGCUCAUGCACGAAAGCGUGGGGAGCAAACAG